CCUACGGGAGGCAGCAGUGGGGAAUAUUGCGCAAUGGGCGAAAGCCUGACGCAGCGACGCCGCGUGAGGGAUGAAGGUCUUCGGAUCGUAAACCUCUGUCAGCAGGGAAGAACGGUCACUGUGCUAAUCAGCAGUGAAUUGACGGUACCUGACUAAGAAGCCCCGGCUAACUACGUGCCAGCAGCCGCGGUAAUACGUAGGGGGCAAGCGUUAUCCGGAUUUACUGGGUGGAAAGGGGGCGUAGACGGUGAGGCAAGUCUGAAGUGAAAGCCCGGGGCUCAACCCCGGGACUGCUUUGGAAACUGUCAUGCUGGAGUGCUGGAGAGGUAAGCGGAAUGCCUAGUGUAGCGGUGAAAUGCGUAGAUAUUAGGAGGAACACCAGUGGUGAAAGCGGCUUACUGGACAGUAACUGACGUUGAGGCUCGAAAGCGUGGGGAGCAAACAGGAUUAGAUACCCCUGUAGUC
Molecule: ribosomal RNA, 465 nt
Filed under: uncultured bacterium
Lineage: Bacteria
Description: partial 16S ribosomal RNA
Rfam family: Bacterial small subunit ribosomal RNA
Source: RNAcentral